CCUACGGGAGGCAGCAGUGAGGAAUAUUGGUCAAUGGACGAGAGUCUGAACCAGCCAAGUAGCGUGAAGGAUGACUGCCCUAUGGGUUGUAAACUUCUUUUAUAUGGGAAUAAAAUGUUCCACGUGUGGGUUUUUGUAUGUACCAUAUGAAUAAGGAUCGGCUAACUCCGUGCCAGCAGCCGCGGUAAUACGGAGGAUCCGAGCGUUAUCCGGAUUUAUUGGGUUUAAAGGGAGCGUAGGUGGAUUGUUAAGUCAGUUGUGAAAGUUUGCGGCGCAACCGUAAAAGUGCAUUUGAAACGGGCAGUCUUGAGUACAGUAGAGGUGGGCGGAAUUCGUGGUGUAGCGGUGAAAUGCUUAGAUAUCACGAAGAACUCCGAUUGCGAAGGCAGCUCACUGGACUGCAACUGACACUGAGGCUCGAAAGUGUGGGUAUCAAACAGGAUUAGAUACCCUAGUAGUC
This 460-nucleotide ribosomal RNA is filed under the name uncultured bacterium. Its description in RNAcentral is "partial 16S ribosomal RNA". It matches the Rfam family "Bacterial small subunit ribosomal RNA", at positions 338 to 795 of the family's 1533-position model. The record is from RNAcentral.